GUUAGGAAUAUUGGACAAUGGGCGAAAGCCUGAUCCAGCCAUGCCGCGUGUGUGAAGAAGGUCUUCGGAUUGUAAAGCACUUUAAGUUGGGAGGAAGGGCAGUAAGUUAAUACCUUGCUGUUUUGACGUUACCGACAGAAUAAGCACCGGCUAACUUCGUGCCAGCAGCCGCGGUAAUACGAAGGGUGCAAGCGUUAAUCGGAAUUACUGGGCGUAAAGCGCGCGUAGGUGGUUCAGCAAGUUGGAGGUGAAAUCCCCGGGCUCAACCUGGGAACUGCCUCCAAAACUACUGAGCUAGAGUACGGUAGAGGGUAGUGGAAUUUCCUGUGUAGCGGUGAAAUGCGUAGAUAUAGGAAGGAACACCAGUGGCGAAGGCGACUACCUGGACUGAUACUGACACUGAGGUGCGAAAGCGUGGGGAGCAAACAGGAUUAGAAACCCCAGUAGUCC
Molecule: ribosomal RNA, 450 nt
Filed under: uncultured bacterium
Lineage: Bacteria
Description: partial 16S ribosomal RNA
Rfam family: Bacterial small subunit ribosomal RNA
Source: RNAcentral